GUGUUGUUUAUUCUUUAGUUUAAUAUGUUAUGGCAUGUGUACUAUUGUUUGUCUGUUUGUCUUUUUCAUUUUUAGCCAUGGUGUUGUCAGUUUAUUUUCAAUUUAAGAGUUUGACUGUCCCUCUGAUAUCUUUCUUCCCUCUUUUAAUACGUUUAUCAAAUCAUGUUUACAAUUUUCAAUUUCCAGUUUACAACAGAAGAAAGUCAAAUAAAUUACUACUAAUAACGUUUUUAAUAUUUGUU
RNAcentral lists this long non-coding RNA (242 nucleotides) under Mytilus galloprovincialis (Mediterranean mussel). The record is from RNAcentral. Lineage: Eukaryota; Metazoa; Mollusca; Bivalvia; Mytilida; Mytilidae.